CAAAAGGCUUUUUUUCUCAGUGAAGGGGGAAAAAAGCCACAAACACUGGGAUGUAAGUCACAU
Fukomys damarensis (Damara mole-rat) is the source of this 63-nucleotide non-coding RNA. Lineage: Eukaryota; Metazoa; Chordata; Mammalia; Rodentia; Bathyergidae. The record is from Rfam.